RNAcentral lists this ribosomal RNA (497 nucleotides) under uncultured bacterium. Its description in RNAcentral is "partial 16S ribosomal RNA". It matches the Rfam family "Bacterial small subunit ribosomal RNA", at positions 28 to 507 of the family's 1533-position model. The record is from RNAcentral.
GAUGAACGCUGGCGGCGUGCCUAAUACAUGCAAGUCGAGCGAACAGAUAAGGAGCUUGCUCCUUUGACGUUAGCGGCGGACGGGUGAGUAACACGUGGGUAACCUACCUAUAAGACUGGGAUAACUUCGGGAAACCGGAGCUAAUACCGGAUAAUAUUUCGAACCGCAUGGUUCGAUAGUGAAAGAUGGUUUUGCUAUCACUUAUAGAUGGACCCGCGCCGUAUUAGCUAGUUGGUAAGGUAACGGCUUACCAAGGCGACGAUACGUAGCCGACCUGAGAGGGUGAUCGGCCACACUGGAACUGAGACACGGUCCAGACUCCUACGGGAGGCAGCAGUAGGGAAUCUUCCGCAAUGGACGAAAGCCUGACGGAGCAACGCCGCGUGAGUGAUGAAGGUCUUCGGAUCGUAAAACUCUGUUAUUAGGGAAGAACAUACGUGUAAGUAACUGUGCACGUCUUGACGGUACCUAAUCAGAAAGCCACGGCUAACUACGUG